Anolis carolinensis (green anole) is the source of this 46-nucleotide regulatory RNA element. It matches the Rfam family "Histone 3' UTR stem-loop". From Rfam's summary of the family: The mRNAs of metazoan histone genes lack a poly-A tail. 3' end processing occurs at a site between a highly conserved stem-loop (modelled by this family) and a purine rich region around 20 nts downstream (the histone downstream element, or HDE). NCBI's taxonomy places the organism in Eukaryota, Metazoa, Chordata, Lepidosauria, Squamata, Anolidae. The record is from Rfam.
CAAACGGCUCUUUUAAGAGCCACCCACUAAUGUCAACGAAGGGGCU